Long non-coding RNA from Lagenorhynchus albirostris (white-beaked dolphin), 868 nucleotides. RefSeq lists it as uncharacterized. NCBI's taxonomy places the organism in Eukaryota, Metazoa, Chordata, Mammalia, Artiodactyla, Delphinidae. The transcript has 5 exons. The record is from RefSeq and is a predicted model, not a curated record.
UCAUGGGGUGCGUGCGGAAGCAGAGACAUGAAAAACAAGUAAAGGCCGGCAGUGUUCCUGUUGGACAUUGAUUCUAGCAAAUGCUGGAUGAAAGCUACAAGACUGAGGUCCUGCUGCUAAUUAGUCGGCUUUAAAUGUCUGGAACAGCGAAGGUGAAGGAUGGCCACCAGAAGCACAAGGCUCUGUUUCAUCAGAUUAGUGGCCACAGCAAGACAACUCCUCUUCCCAGCAAGUCCCAGAAAUGACUCCUGUUGGCACGAACCUAUCUCUGAAUCUAUCAGUGACUCCGAUUGGCUGGACUUGGCCAUAUGAAUGUUUCUGAAGAAGGCUGUGGGUGUUACCAACCCCAUGCAAAUAAGCUGAGAGGAAGGCGUGAUUCCCCAGAGGAGAACUGAAGUGUCGAUAAAAGAGCAAGAUAUUAAACUUAAAGGAGCUGUAAUUGUACGUCGAUCGUCUUUGACUCUCCUACAUCGACUGCUCAGAUUAAACAUCCUUUCUUAACCACCCUACUCUGGCACUCAGCAAGCCGUGGAAUGAGAAAGAAUUGGCUGGAAGUAAACAGUCUGCUUGCUCAUAGCAACUGAAAGUUUUCUUCCGAUGGUUCUGGUUCCAGGGGAGGUUGCUGAAGAUUAAAUCCUGAAGUCUGUCCCAUUCAGAGAGCAACAGCCUGGCUUCUGGUGGCUACAGCAUCAGCUGCUGCUUCUCGUGGUUGCCGUCAAUACUACCCUUCCCCACUCUGGAAAAUGUCUGAGUUGGUCAUUGAUGGUCCCUCAGCUCUGCAUGUCUCCCAGUUCUGGUGAGAAAUGCUACCCUGGAUGACGUGACAAAGCAGAAGGCAAAAUCAACAACAACAACAGAAUAAAAAUAA